GUGGGGAAUAUUGCACAAUGGGCGAAAGCCUGAUGCAGCAACGCCGCGUGAGGGAUGACGGCCUUCGGGUUGUAAACCUCUUUUAGCAGGGAAGAAGCGAAAGUGACGGUACCUGCAGAAAAAGCGCCGGCUAACUACGUGCCAGCAGCCGCGGUAAUACGUAGGGCGCAAGCGUUGUCCGGAAUUAUUGGGCGUAAAGAGCUCGUAGGCGGGUUGUCGCGUCUGCUGUGAAAACUGGAGGCUCAACCUCCAGCCUGCAGUGGGUACGGGCAGACUAGAGUGCGGUAGGGGAGAUUGGAAUUCCUGGUGUAGCGGUGGAAUGCGCAGAUAUCAGGAGGAACACCGAUGGCGAAGGCAGAUCUCUGGGCCGUAACUGACGCUGAGGAGCGAAAGCAUGGGGAGCGAACAGGAUUAGAUACCCCAGUAGUCC
RNAcentral lists this ribosomal RNA (430 nucleotides) under uncultured bacterium. RNAcentral's name for it is "partial 16S ribosomal RNA". It matches the Rfam family "Bacterial small subunit ribosomal RNA", at positions 354 to 796 of the family's 1533-position model. The record is from RNAcentral.